RNAcentral lists this ribosomal RNA (253 nucleotides) under uncultured bacterium. Its description in RNAcentral is "partial 16S ribosomal RNA". It matches the Rfam family "Bacterial small subunit ribosomal RNA", at positions 524 to 776 of the family's 1533-position model. The record is from RNAcentral.
UACAGAGGGUGCGAGCGUUGUUCGGAAUUAUUGGGCGUAAAGGGCGCGUAGGCGGUGCGGCAAGUCACCUGUGAAACCUCUGGGCUUAACCCAGAGCCUGCAGGCGAAACUGCCGUGCUGGAGUGUGGGAGAGGUGCGUGGAAUUCCUGGUGUAGCAGUGAAAUGCGUAGAUAUCAGGAGGAACACCGAUGGCGAAGGCAGGUCUCUGGGCUGACACUGACGCUCAUGCACGAAAGCGUGGGGAGCAAACAGG